RNAcentral lists this ribosomal RNA (381 nucleotides) under uncultured bacterium. RNAcentral's name for it is "bacterial SSU rRNA". It matches the Rfam family "Bacterial small subunit ribosomal RNA", at positions 8 to 393 of the family's 1533-position model. The record is from RNAcentral.
AGAGUUUGAUCCUGGCUCAGAUUGAACGCUGGCGGCAUGCCUUACACAUGCAAGUCGAACGGUAACAGGUCUUCGGAUGCUGACGAGUGGCGAACGGGUGAGUAAUACAUCGGAACGUGCCCGAGAGUGGGGGAUAACGGAGCGAAAGCUUUGCUAAUACCGCAUACGAUCUACGGAUGAAAGCAGGGGACCGCAAGGCCUUGCGCUCAUGGAGCGGCCGAUGGCAGAUUAGGUAGUUGGUGGGAUAAAAGCUUACCAAGCCGACGAUCUGUAGCUGGUCUGAGAGGACGACCAGCCACACUGGGACUGAGACACGGCCCAGACUCCUACGGGAGGCAGCAGUGGGGAAUUUUGGACAAUGGGCGCAAGCCUGAUCCAGCC